RNAcentral lists this ribosomal RNA (585 nucleotides) under uncultured bacterium. RNAcentral's name for it is "bacterial SSU rRNA". It matches the Rfam family "Bacterial small subunit ribosomal RNA", at positions 102 to 683 of the family's 1533-position model. The record is from RNAcentral.
ACGGGUGAGUAAUACAUCGGAACGUGCCCGAUCGUGGGGGAUAACGAAGCGAAAGCUUUGCUAAUACCGCAUAAGAUCUACGGAUGAAAGCAGGGGACCGCAAGGCCUUGCGCGAACGGAGCGGCCGAUGGCAGAUUAGGUAGUUGGUGGGAUAAAAGCUUACCAAGCCGACGAUCUGUAGCUGGUCUGAGAGGACGACCAGCCACACUGGGACUGAGACACGGCCCAGACUCCUACGGGAGGCAGCAGUGGGGAAUUUUGGACAAUGGGCGAAAGCCUGAUCCAGCCAUGCCGCGUGCAGGAUGAAGGCCUUCGGGUUGUAAACUGCUUUUGUACGGAACGAAAAGACUCUGGUUAAUACCUGGGGUCCAUGACGGUACCGUAAGAAUAAGCACCGGCUAACUACGUGCCAGCAGCCGCGGUAAUACGUAGGGUGCAAGCGUUAAUCGGAAUUACUGGGCGUAAAGCGUGCGCAGGCGGUGAUGUAAGACAGAUGUGAAAUCCCCGGGCUCAACCUGGGAACUGCAUUUGUGACUGCAUCGCUGGAGUACGGCAGAGGGGGAUGGAAUUCCGCGUGUAGCAGUG